UUAACUGACGCUAAAGCUCGAAGGUGCGGGUAUCGAACAGGAUUAGAUACCCUGGUAGUCCGCACGGUAAACGAUGGAUGCCCGCUGUAUGCGAUACAUUGUAUGCGGCCAAGCGAAAGCGUUAAGCAUCCCACCUGGGGAGUACGCCGGCAACGGUGAAACUCAAAGGAAUUGACGGGGGCCCGCACAAGCGGAGGAACAUGUGGUUUAAUUCGAUGAUACGCGAGGAACCUUACCCGGGCUUGAACUGCAGGAGAACGAAUCAGAGAUGAUGAGGCCCUUCGGGGCUCCUGUGGAGGUGCUGCAUGGUUGUCGUCAGCUCGUGCCGUGAGGUGUCGGCUUAAGUGCCAUAACGAGCGCAACCCCUCUCGCCAGUUGCCAUCAGGUGAUGCUGGGCACUCUGGGGACACUGCCACCGUAAGGUGUGAGGAAGGUGGGGAUGACGUCAAAUCAGCACGGCCCUUACGUCCGGGGCUACACACGUGUUACAAUGGGCGGUACAGAGCGUCGGCGGCCCGCAAGGUCCGUCCAAUCGUGAAAUCCGCCCUCAGUUCGGAUUGGGGUCUGCAACCCGACCCCAUGAAGCUGGAUUCGCUAGUA
RNAcentral lists this ribosomal RNA (600 nucleotides) under uncultured bacterium. RNAcentral describes it as "bacterial SSU rRNA". It matches the Rfam family "Bacterial small subunit ribosomal RNA", at positions 736 to 1340 of the family's 1533-position model. The record is from RNAcentral.